This 898-nucleotide ribosomal RNA is filed under the name uncultured organism. RNAcentral's name for it is "bacterial SSU rRNA". It matches the Rfam family "Bacterial small subunit ribosomal RNA", at positions 582 to 1493 of the family's 1533-position model. The record is from RNAcentral.
GGUAAGUCAGAGGUGAAAGCCCGCAGCUUAACUGUGGGAAUUUGCCUUUGAUACUGCUCACCUUGAGUCCAGCUGAGGUAGGCGGAAUGUAGUAUGUAGCGGUGAAAUGCUUAGAUAUACUACAGAACACCGAUUGCGAAGGCAGCUUACCAAACUGGCACUGACGCUCAGGCACGAAAGCGUGGGGAGCGAACAGGAUUAGAUACCCUGGUAGUCCACGCCGUAAACGUUGAUCACUCGUUGUUGGCAAUACACCGUCAGCGACCUAGCUAAUGCGCUAAGUGAUCCACCUGGGGAGUACGAUCGCAAGGUUGAAACUCAAAGGAAUUGACGGGGGCCCGCACAAGCGGAGGAGCAUGUGGUUUAAUUCGAUGAUACGCGAGGAACCUUACCUGGGCUUAAAUGUAGUGUGCAUUCCCGUGAAAACGGGAUUUCCUUCGGGACCCACUACAAGGUGCUGCAUGGUUGUCGUCAGCUCGUGCCGUGAGGUGUCGGGUUAAGUCCCAUAACGAGCGCAACCCCUAUCUUUAGUUGCUAACAGGUCAUGCUGAGGACUCUAAAGAAACUGCCCGCGCAAGCGGUGAGGAAGGUGGGGAUGACGUCAAAUCAGCACGGCCCUUAUGUCCAGGGCUACACACGUGCUACAAUGGCAGGUACAGUGGGCAGCUAUCACGCAAGUGAAUGCUAAUCUCUAAAACCUGUCUCAGUCCGGAUUGAAGUCUGCAACCCGACUCCAUGAAGCUGGAUUCGCUAGUAAUCGCACAUCAGCCAUGGUGCGGUGAAUACGUUCCCGGGCCUUGUACACACCGCCCGUCAAGCCAUGGAAGCUGGGAGUACCUGAAGUCUGUAACCGCAAGGAGCGCCCUAGGGUAACCGGUGACUGGGCUAAGUCGGAGCA